AUUUUCAGUCAUUGUGUUUUCAAACCUGCACCCCACUCCCAAGGGAGUCUACCUCCUACGGACCACUCACUUUUCUCCCAUCCUGUGUUGGCACACUCACAUUCACUCACCUUUUCUCCCGCAGUACCUAAUAGCCUCUCAUGUCCCCAGCCCAUUUUCCAGCCCAGAAAGGGCAGUUCUCACCAGGUGAAUUUGUGUGACAGUCCUUUUAAACUUCUUCCAUGAUCUUAGCAUGUUCUGGCUUUCACCACCUUCUUUAACAUGUGGACUGGAUUUGUCUACAGCUAUGGCUAUGUGCUGUUUCCUGGUCUCCUUCUGUGUACUGACUUCUCCUCUUAUCUUAGCUGUGUGCUCCUGUUUCUUCAUGUCUGGUGAUUUUUCAACAGGAUGCCAGACAGCGAUUCCUGUGUUGCUGGCUGCUGGUUAUUUUUGUGCUCUUUGCACUAUUUCUGGAUUCUGUUCUGGGAUGCAGUUAUUUUCCCUUAUUGCUCUUUCUGCAGCUUGUGUGUAAGCUCUGACAGUUGGGACAAGAGCAGCCGUCAAAUCAGGCUCGUUCUGCUGGUAUGGGUCUCUGAGCUCUUGGACUGCAGGCUGUGGCAUCUGCAUUCCACAGGGUUGGGGCUCAUGCCCCAGGGCUGAGCUGUCCUUCACCCGGUCACGACUCCCUUGGCUUCGGACGGAGAUAGUAGUCCUCCUCAGCUGCACCGGUAUGCCCUGCAUCCCCUCUUCAAGUGUCUGCACCCACCACGACUCCUCGUUCAGAGUCUGGGCCAUUUCUCAGCAGCUUCCCCUUCUGUAUGCCUUGCCAAAAUACUCAAGCACUGUCUCAGCCCGGGGAGUGACCCCUCCCCACCCUGGCUGCUGAUGCUGAGGCAGUGAGCCAGGGAAUCGUGGGACUCACCUCUUCAUUCCCCUUCCCUGGGAGUCACUCGCAGGAACUGGCUGGCUCCCAAAGCACCGGUGUCGCCGUCAUGUGCUCCCAACCGUGUUUCUAGGAUGGGCCGAAGGAAGAACACUGCCUCGGCGCAGAAAGAACAAAUGGAGAUGUACUGGAUACUUUAUGUCAGCUUGGCACAAACUAAAGUCAUCUGAAAGGAGGGAGCCUCAAUUAGGAAAAUGCCUCCUUAAGAUUCGGCUGUAGGCAUUUUUUCUACGGAGCGAUUGGUGGAGGAGGGCCCCGCCCAUUGUGGGUGGGGCCACUGUGUGCUGGCUGAGGAAGCCGCGCCGAGGAUCAAAUCAGUAAGCAACGCCCCUCCACAGCCUCUGCAUCAGCUCCUGCCUCCAGGUCCCUGCCCUGUUUGAGUUCCUGUCCUGACUUCCUUCAGCGAUGGACAGUGGUAUGGAAGUGUGAGCCCACAUAAACCCUUUCCUCUCCAA
Mesocricetus auratus (golden hamster) is the source of this 1377-nucleotide long non-coding RNA. RefSeq lists it as uncharacterized. The transcript is spliced from 2 exons. The record is from RefSeq and is a predicted model, not a curated record. Lineage: Eukaryota; Metazoa; Chordata; Mammalia; Rodentia; Cricetidae.